GACGAACGCUGGCGGCGUGCUUAACACAUGCAAGUCGAACGGAAAGGCCCUGCUUUUGUGGGGUUCUCGAGUGGCGAACGGGGGAGUAACACGUGAGUAACCUGCCCUUGACUUUGGGAUAACUUCAGGAAACUGGGGCUAAUAUCGGAUAGGAGCUUCUGCUGCAUGGUGGGGGUUGGAAAGUUUCGGCGGUUGGGGAUGGACUCGCGGCUUAUCAGCUGGUUUGUGGGGUAGGGGCUUACCAAGGCUUUGACGGGUAGCCGGCCUGAGAGGGUGAACGGCCACAUUGGGACUGAGAUACGGACCAGACUCCUACGGGAGGCAGUAGUGGGGAAUCUUGCACAAUGGGCGGGAGCCUGAUGCAGAAACGCUGCGUGCGGGAUGACGGCCUUCGGGUUGUAAACCGCUUUCGCCUGUGACGAAGCGUGAGUGACGGUAAUGGGUAAAGAAGCACCGGCUAACUACGUG
This 468-nucleotide ribosomal RNA is filed under the name uncultured bacterium. RNAcentral's name for it is "partial 16S ribosomal RNA". It matches the Rfam family "Bacterial small subunit ribosomal RNA", at positions 28 to 507 of the family's 1533-position model. The record is from RNAcentral.